Thermosinus carboxydivorans Nor1 is the source of this 1858-nucleotide ribosomal RNA. It matches the Rfam family "Bacterial large subunit ribosomal RNA", at positions 1 to 1849 of the family's 2925-position model. The record is from Rfam. NCBI's taxonomy places the organism in Bacteria, Bacillati, Bacillota, Negativicutes, Selenomonadales, Sporomusaceae.
GGUCAAGCUAGGAAGGGCAUACGGUGGAUGCCUAGGCGCCAAGAGCCGACGAAGGACGCGGUAAGCUGCGAAAAGCCACGGGGAGCCGCAAGCAGGCGUAGAUCCGUGGAUGUCCGAAUGGGGGAACCCGGCGGUGGUAAUGCACCGUCAUCCAUCGUAAGAUGGAAGGGAACCCGGGGAACUGAAACAUCUAAGUACCCGGAGGAAAAGUAAUCAAACGAGAUUCCCUAAGUAGCGGCGAGCGAAAGGGGAGGAGCCCAAACCGGUUGCGCUAUGCGCAACCGGGGUUGUGGACCAACGCAAAAGCUAGCGAGGUCUAGUCGAACUACCUGGAAAGGUAGGCCGCAGAAGGUAAAAGCCCUGUAGGCGAAAGGCUGAGCCAGCCGGUUGGGAUCCAGAGUACCACGGGAUACGAGGAGUCCUGUGGGAAGCAGGGGGGACCACCCUCCAAGGCAAAAUACUCCUUGGCAACCGAUAGCGCAUAGUACCGUGAGGGAAAGGUGAAAAGCACCCCGGGAGGGGAGUGAAAGAGGACCUGAAACCGUAUGUCUACAAGCAGUCGGAGACUAUAAGUCGACGGCGUGCCUAUUGAAGAAUGAACCGGCGAGUUACAGCAGCCAGCGAGGUUAAGCAGAAAAUGCGGAGCCGAAGCGAAAGCGAGUCUGAAGAGGGCGAGAAAGUUGGCUGUUGUAGACCCGAAACCGCAGUGAUCUAUCCAUGGCCAGGGUGAAGCGCAGGUAACAAUGCGUGGAGGCCCGAACCGGUGGGCGUUGAAAAGUCCUCGGAUGAGUUGUGGAUAGGGGUGAAAUGCCAAUCGAACGCGGAGAUAGCUGGUUCUCCCCGAAAUAGCUUUAGGGCUAGCCUCAAGUGGUGAGUGCAGGCGGUAGAGCACUGAUAGGGCUAGGGGCCGUAAGGUUACCGAACCUUGUCAAACUGCGAAUGGCUGCAUUUAGAGCUUGGGAGUCAGACUACGAGUGAUAAGAUCCGUAGUCAAGAGGGAAACAGCCCAGACCAUCAGCUAAGGUCCCGAAUGCCGUGCUAAGUGGCAAAGGAUGUGGCGCUACAAAAACAACCAGGAUGUUGGCUUAGAAGCAGCCAUCAUUCAAAGAGUGCGUAAUAGCUCACUGGUCGAGUGGCGCUGCGCCGAAGAUGUCCGGGGCUAAAGCACGGAACCGAAGCUAUGGGAUUGAGAGGUGCAUCUCACCUCUCAGUCGGUAGGGGAGCGUUCUUACCGGGUAGAAGGUUUUCUGGAAGGGGAGCUGGACUGGUAAGAAGUGAGAAUGCCGGUAUGAGUAGCGAAAAGACAGGUGAGAAUCCUGUCCACCGAAAGCCUAAGGGUUCCUGAGCAACGAUCGUCGACUCAGGGUAAGUCGGGACCUAAGCCGAGGCGGAUAAGCGUAGGCGAUGGACAACGGGUAAACAUUCCCGUACCGCCCGAAGUCGUUUGAGCGAAGGAGUGACGCAGGAGGUAAGGCAAGCGCGAGGAUGGAAAGUCGCGUCUAAGCCGGUAGGGUGCAGUGCAGGCAAAUCCGCACUGCGAGAGCCUGAGAGGUGAAGGGGAGCUGAGGGGAGACCCUUGGCGAAGUUGCCUGGGCCAGACUGCCGAGAAAAGCUUCUAGCGAGACGGAGGGCGCCCGUACCGGAAACCGACACAGGUAGGCGGGGAGAGGAUCCUAAGGUGCGCGGGAGAACCCUCGUUAAGGAACUCGACAAAAUGUCCCCGUAACUUCGGGAGAAGGGGAGCCCAAGCCCGUGAAGGCAGGAAGCGGCCGGAGCGGGAGUGGGUCGCAGAGGAGAGGCCCAAGCGACUGUUUACCACAAACACAGGUGCCUGCUAAAGCGAAAGCUGACGUAUAGG